CAUGCAUGGACAUGAUGUUUUAAUGUUAAUUGCUAUUUCAAAUGUUAGGUCUCUUGAAAGAAACUGCGGAUGCUAUAAAGUAGACUAUAUUAAAAUCGCAGUGUCUGUCCGUUGGUCCGCCUAUACCCAUUAAACAACUCGAGAAUCAGAAAGAGACGUCCAUGAAAUUUGAUAUUGGGGAGUUUUACUGAAAUAUGUUGAGACCAAUUUUGGUUUAGUCAGAUAAGUAAAUGACAAAAAAAAAUGUUGGCGCAAGUAUAGUGACGAUAGUGACAAUAACUUCGUGAAUACUCAGGGAACUGAAAAAUGUUGCGAACAAAAGUUACCGAAAAACUUGAAAUUUGUAUUUCAUUCUCCGCGUAGUUUUCCGUUAAGUCUUGCGAUUUGUGAGGUUAAUUGUUCCUCUAUUCCUGCGUUUCCUAACUUCUGUUAUAUAGUAAUCAAACACAUGAAGACUUAAGUAAUCAACAAAGGUUAUUCGAACAAAAGAGAAGAUAAACGAAGUCUCUUAUUUUCUACAAUUAAACGAAGCUUCUACCACAUUUUUUAGGCUAAAUGUGGCUGUAUAUAAAUAUAUAUUUAAUGACACAUAAUUAACAUAAGAGCAUAAAUGCUCCUUUGAGCUUUUGAUCUGGAUGAAUAAGCUCUUUUGAGAUUUUGAGUAGCUGCAUCUAGACUAUAAAAUCAUAACAAUACUGCAUGAAAUGAUACGCAGUAAGAUGACAAGAUGCUGUACAUGCUUGUUGCAGGUAAUACUAAUUCUGUCAGUCUGCCAUAUGCAAACAUAAUCUUCAUGGCAAAUGUUUACUUAGAGCUUCUUUAAAACAUUUAUUUUUUCAAUAUUAGAUGCUACAGUUAAGCACUUAAACAUGACUGGAUUGUGUGUAUGCAGAGCCAAAAAUAUGUGCAUAGUUCUUCAGAAAUGCUCUUUUCCUUCUGUACUGCAAAUGAUUAUGUGAGAAUUUUAAAAUUCAAUGAUCCAUGUGAGAAGUGAAUAGAAUUUAUUUUUGAGUACACUUACAAUUGAUUCUCUAUUAACCACCCAAUAGUUCUCUUUUACAUAAAUUUAUAUGUUAAAAUUAUGAAUAUUUCCUUUAAAGAAGAAUUAAUAAUGUUUUUAAAAAUACAAAAUUAGAAAUGUUAAUGACAUGAUCAUAUUCACAAAUUAUAAUUAAAAUAGUAAUUAAACUCAAAUAGAAUGCACAAAUGCAAAAAGAAAAUGACUAUAUUCAGUCCCAUAGCCCCAACAACAUUGUAAAGGUAAUUACUACAUCUUCUGGGUGAAAUUAAAGUGGGUUUGGUUGAAUUGUAUGGAGCCUGGUGCAGUUUCUCUCCACUUAUAUUCAGAAGGUAGAGGCAGUAGGUUCUCAGCAACAUUAAAAAAAAUAACAUAAGCAGAUAUAUAACGUUUCAUAUUUAAUUUACUGCUUCUCAUGCUAAUAACACAAAGUCAGUCAUAACAUGACCACUGAAAAUGCCUGAGAAGUGAAAAAGCAACAUGAAGCAAAUCAAAGUAUGAUACAAGACUUAUAUAAUGCCAAAUGGAAAGUUUUCUUCUAAUUUUUAUUCAAUACUUUAUCCUUCAGACUCCAUAAGCUAUGUAGUAUACAAUUUUAUAUAAUUUUAUGAUAACAUAAAUACAUAUGGUCAUCAGUCUUAGCUGCCACGCAAUGUUUUGGAUGUAAGCAACAAUGGAAAAAUAUGAACUGGUACAUAAUAUACAGAUGGUCAUUUAUUCCCUGUUAUAUAUUAGACUAUAUUCAGUCCCAUAGCCCCAACAACAUUGUAAAGGUAAUUACUACAUCUUCUGGGUGAAAUUAAAGUGGGUUUGGUUGAAUUGUAUGGAGCCUGGUGCAGUUUCUCUCCACUUAUAUUCAGAAGGUAGAGGCAGUAGGUUCUCAGCAACAUUAAAAAAAAUAACAUAAGCAGAUAUAUAACGUUUCAUAUUUAAUUUACUGCUUCUCAUGCUAAUAACACAAAGUCAGUCAUAACAUGACCACUGAAAAUGCCUGAGAAGUGAAAAAGCAACAUGAAGCAAAUCAAAGUAUGAUACAAGACUUAUAUAAUGCCAAAUGGAAAGUUUUCUUCUAAUUUGUAUUCAAUACUUUAUCCUUCAGACUCCAUAAGCUAUGUAGUAUACAAUUUUAUAUAAUUUUAUGAUAACAUAAAUACAUAUGGUCAUCAGUCUUAGCUGCCACGCAAUGUUUUGGAUGUAAGCAACAAUGGAAAAAUAUGAACUGGUACAUAAUAUACAGAUGGUCAUUUAUUCCCUGUUAUAUAUUAAUAUAAUAUGAUUAGAGUAUGGAAUGUCAUGGGGCUCUUGCUUAAAUUAAGAUCAUAAUUUUCUAGCAGACUUUCCAUUUGUGAUUUGUAACUGUUUCAAGGAAAACUGUUAUGAUUUUCCAGAUGUUUAUUAUAAAAUGAAUUGACAACACUAUCCAGUGUCUCAGUAUAUAUUUAUAUAGCGCCUUUACAUGUUUCAGUCAGUUGUGACCAUUUUCAGAAGGCCAAAACAUGUAAAGGUACUACAUAAAUAUAUAUUGAGUCACAUUGGAUGGUGCUGUCAAUUCAUUUUAUAAUAAUUAACUAGUGUGACAGACCAGAAUGAAUAAAGUUAAAACUUUUCCAGAUGUUUCUUAGGACACAAAAAUAUGCAUUACUUUUUACAUUUACAUUAUGUAUA
Molecule: long non-coding RNA, 2683 nt
Organism: Cryptotermes secundus
Lineage: Eukaryota; Metazoa; Arthropoda; Insecta; Blattodea; Kalotermitidae
Exons: 2
Source: RefSeq, a predicted model, not a curated record